This 244-nucleotide ribosomal RNA is filed under the name uncultured bacterium. RNAcentral's name for it is "partial 16S ribosomal RNA". It matches the Rfam family "Bacterial small subunit ribosomal RNA", at positions 15 to 248 of the family's 1533-position model. The record is from RNAcentral.
GAUCCUGGCUCAGGAUGAACGCUAGCUACAGGCUUAACACAUGCAAGUCGAGGGGAAACGACAUCGAAAGCUUGCUUUUGAUGGGCGUCGACCGGCGCACGGGUGAGUAACGCGUAUCCAACCUGCCUACCACUUGGGGAUAACCUUGCGAAAGUAAGACUAAUACCCAAUGACAUCCCACGAAGACAUCUGAAUGGGAUUAAAGAUUUAUCGGUGACGGAUGGGGAUGCGUCUGAUUAGCUUG